UAUAUACUUCCUCCGUCUCAAAUUUUUUGUCUUAAAAUUUGUCUAAAUACGAAUGUAUCAAGUCACGUUUAGUAUUAGAUACAUCCGUAUUUAAACAAAUCUAAGACAAGAAUUUUGGAACGGAGGAAGUAUUAA
This is a non-coding RNA of Triticum aestivum (bread wheat), 135 nucleotides long. Lineage: Eukaryota; Viridiplantae; Streptophyta; Magnoliopsida; Poales; Poaceae. The record is from Rfam.